Molecule: long non-coding RNA, 256 nt
Filed under: Elaeis guineensis (African oil palm)
Lineage: Eukaryota; Viridiplantae; Streptophyta; Magnoliopsida; Arecales; Arecaceae
Description: long non-coding RNA (EGUI_LNC029571)
Source: RNAcentral
AAGGUCCGUAUCUCUAACCAUUAAUCCAAAUGAAAGACAAACUUGGAGGUGCCUGGAGAGGUAGGGCCGGAACCAUAUUUUUGGCCAUUUUGAAUCUAUUGCUUAGAGGAAUUAUAUCCUACGUCAUAUGCACCAUAUGACAGUACACCACACUAAUCAUAGGUGCUUAUUCCAUAGAUCAAUCACUGAGAUGAGUGUUGGGUGGAUGUCUUAUCAGAACACCACCUCCCAAGACCUUUUCGGUACUGUGCGAUGC